AGGGGCAGCAAUUGCUCCUACUUUAAACCUACCAAUGAUGGUCCAAAGUCCAUAUGGAAAAAGGUGAUGGGAGU
Molecule: non-coding RNA, 74 nt
Filed under: unclassified sequences
Source: RNAcentral